Mytilus californianus (California mussel) is the source of this 353-nucleotide long non-coding RNA. RefSeq lists it as uncharacterized. The transcript has 3 exons. NCBI's taxonomy places the organism in Eukaryota, Metazoa, Mollusca, Bivalvia, Mytilida, Mytilidae. The record is from RefSeq and is a predicted model, not a curated record.
UUCUGAUAUGGUGGAGGCUAUUGGUGGAAGUCUUACUAAAGGAGCUUUUAAUAUUAUUUUAAGGAAAUUAGGAAUUGAGGAUAUUUUUACAAACACCUGUCAACUAUUGGAAUCUGGAAAAGAGUGUUCUACCACAUUACAAAUACCAAAUUCAUUGGGAGACAUAGUUCAGUGUGAAUUAACAGACAGUUGUUUAGGACUCAGUUGCUGUUUAGGACUGAAUUUCAAGUUGCCUUUUAAUGGAGAUGAUGUUGCAUACAAUAUUCCGUUUGGAUUUAAUUUAAGCCCUUGUGAUUUUGAAAUUGAAAUAAGUUUUGGAUCAUAUUACCAAAAGAUGGUUUUACUUGAGUAUG